This 72-nucleotide transfer RNA is filed under the name Candidatus Woesearchaeota archaeon. RNAcentral describes it as "tRNA-Ala". It matches the Rfam family "tRNA". From Rfam's summary of the family: Transfer RNA (tRNA) molecules are approximately 80 nucleotides in length. Their secondary structure includes four short double-helical elements and three loops (D, anti-codon, and T loops). The record is from RNAcentral. Lineage: Archaea; Nanobdellati; Candidatus Woesearchaeota.
GGGCCCUUAGCUCAGCGGUAGAGCGCUCGGUUGGCAAUCGGGAGGCCGCGGGUUCAAUUCCCGCAGGGUCCA